Molecule: ribosomal RNA, 301 nt
Filed under: uncultured bacterium
Lineage: Bacteria
Description: partial 16S ribosomal RNA
Rfam family: Bacterial small subunit ribosomal RNA
Source: RNAcentral
CAGCCGCCGCGGGAAAACGAAGGGGGCUAGCGUUGUUCGGAUUUACUGGGCGUAAAGCGCACGUAGGCGGACUUUUAAGUCAGGGGUGAAAUCCCGGGGCUCAACCCCGGAACUGCCUUUGAUACUGGAAGUCUUGAGUAUGGUAGAGGUGAGUGGAAUUCCGAGUGUAGAGGUGAAAUUCGUAGAUAUUCGGAGGAACACCAGUGGCGAAGGCGGCUCACUGGACCAUUACUGACGCUGAGGUGCGAAAGCGUGGGGAGCAAACAGGAUUAGAGACCCCCGUAGUCCCUGUCUCUUAUAC